CACGUAGGGUGCAAGCGUUGUCCGGAUUCAUUGGGCGUAAAGGGCUCGUAGGCGGCUUAGCAAGUCGGGUGUGAAAACUUCAGGCUCAACCUGGAGCGGCCAUCCGAUACUGCUAUGGCUAGAGUCCGGUAGGGGACCACGGAAUUCCUGGUGUAGCGGUGAAAUGCGCAGAUAUCAGGAGGAACACCGAUGGCGAAGGCGGGGGUCUGGACAGGAACUGACGCUGAGGAGCGAAGGCAAGGGGAGCGAACAGG
This 254-nucleotide ribosomal RNA is filed under the name uncultured bacterium. RNAcentral's name for it is "partial 16S ribosomal RNA". It matches the Rfam family "Bacterial small subunit ribosomal RNA", at positions 524 to 776 of the family's 1533-position model. The record is from RNAcentral.